This 256-nucleotide ribosomal RNA is filed under the name uncultured bacterium. RNAcentral describes it as "partial 16S ribosomal RNA". It matches the Rfam family "Bacterial small subunit ribosomal RNA", at positions 524 to 777 of the family's 1533-position model. The record is from RNAcentral.
UACGGAGGGUGCAAGGCGUUGUCCGGAAUCACUGGGCGUAAAGGGCGCGUAGGUGGUGGCUUAAGCGUGCGGUGAAAGCUCGGAGCUCAACUCCGAGUCGGCCGUGCGAACUGGGCUCACUGGAGCAUAGUAGAGGCAGGUGGAAUUCCGGGUGUAGCGGUGGAAUGCGUAGAGAUCCGGAAGAACACCGGUGGCGAAGGCGGCCUGCUGGGCUAUGGCUGACACUGAGGCGCGACAGCGUGGGGAGCAAACAGGG